GUGCCAGCCGCCGCGGUAAUACGUAGGGGGCAAGCGUUGUCCGGAAUCAUUGGGCGUAAAGCGCGUGUAGGCGGCUCGGUAAGUCUGCUCUGAAAGCCUGGGGCUCAACCCUGGGAGGCGGGUGGAUACUGCUGAGCUCGAGUCCGGAAGAGGCGAGUGGAAUUCCUGGUGUAGCGGUGAAAUGCGCAGAUAUCAGGAGGAACACCAAUGGCGAAGGCAGCUCGCUGGGACGGUACUGACGCUGAGACGCGAAAGCGUGGGGAGCAAACAGGAUUAGAUACCCUUGUAGUCC
This 292-nucleotide ribosomal RNA is filed under the name uncultured bacterium. Its description in RNAcentral is "partial 16S ribosomal RNA". It matches the Rfam family "Bacterial small subunit ribosomal RNA", at positions 505 to 796 of the family's 1533-position model. The record is from RNAcentral.